RNAcentral lists this ribosomal RNA (499 nucleotides) under uncultured bacterium. RNAcentral describes it as "partial 16S ribosomal RNA". It matches the Rfam family "Bacterial small subunit ribosomal RNA", at positions 28 to 507 of the family's 1533-position model. The record is from RNAcentral.
GACGAACGCUGGCGGCGUGCCUAAUACAUGCAAGUCGAGCGAAGUUUUUCUGGUGCUUGCACCGGAAAAACUUAGCGGCGAACGGGUGAGUAACACGUAAAGAACCUGCCUCAUAGACUGGGACAACUAUUGGAAACGAUAGCUAAUACCGGAUAACAGCAUUAACUGCAUGGUUGAUGUUUAAAAGUUGGUUUUGCUAACACUAUGAGAUGGCUUUGCGGUGCAUUAGCUAGUUGGUGGGGUAAAGGCCUACCAAGGCGACGAUGCAUAGCCGACCUGAGAGGGUGAUCGGCCACACUGGGACUGAGACACGGCCCAGACUCCUACGGGAGGCAGCAGUAGGGAAUCUUCCGCAAUGGGCGAAAGCCUGACGGAGCAACGCCGCGUGAGUGAAGAAGGAUUUCGGUUCGUAAAGCUCUGUUGUUAGGGAAGAAUGAUUGUGUAGUAACUAGACACGGUAGAGACGGUACCUAACCAGAAAGCCACGGCUAACUACGUG